ACUUUAAAUUGAGUAUAAUCAUAUCCGAAGGUCACAACGAGUUAAUUAUCUUUAAUCUCAAUUGUUCCUCUUCAAGAUUAAAAAGAGAGGUCGAUAAAAUCUCAUUUUCUUCCCAUCAUAACUUGUAGAAUAUAAAUUGAUCGUACUGCUAAGAUAUUCCUGUAUAAAUCGGGUGUUAAAAUUAAUACAGACGUCCGAAAGUGAAUCAGGACACCGAUAUAUCAAAGUACUCAAAAUUGAUCCGGACGUCUUAAUUUCUCAGCGAGUUGCGAAUGCCAUCGUCCAUGGACGGCGCGGCUUGACACCUCUUCAUAUAUGUUUUGUUAUAUACUUAUAUCUUUAUGCAUCGGAAGUAGUCAUUUUUAGUAUUUACUUCGACUUGUGUUUCGACUUUCGAGCCGCACACCGGUUCAGUGGACAUGGCCGCCCAUCCGCUUGCACUCUGUGCCCUGCUGAGCUCUCUUCUCCCAUCAAGGCCCCUUCUCUCCCUCCGCUCUUUUUCCCACCUUCGUUCCCAUGCGAACUCGAGGAGACUUCUCUCGCUGCCAAUCCUGCAUUUGCUGCCAAAUCACGCAAGGAGACUCGCUACCAGCGCCGAGCCAUCCGUGGUGACCUCCGAGGACGACAGCUACGGGGGAAAGCAGGUCAUCAACCUCACGCCUCAUCUAUACGAUUAUGUCUUAUCCAAUGUCCGCGAACAUCCGAUUCUUCGUAAACUGCGGGAAGAAACAUCGACUAUGCCAGGAAGCCAGAUGCAGGUAUCUCCUGAUCAAGCCCAACUACUAGUGAUGCUUGCACAAAUUAUUGGAGCACAAAGAUGUAUUGAAGUCGGUGUUUAUACAGGUUACUCUUCUUUAGCUAUUGCAAUGGUUUUACCUGAGACUGGCCGAUUAGUUGCAUGUGAAAGAGAUGAGAGAUGCCUUGAAAUCGCAAAGAAGUAUUAUACACGAGCUGGAGUUGCUCACAAGGUGGAUAUAAAACAUGGCCUGGCUGUGGACUCAUUAAAAUCCUUGAUCCAACAUGGUGAAUCAUCCAGUUUUGACUUUGCAUUUGUGGAUGCUGAGAAGCGGAUGUACAACGAAUAUUUUGAGCUUCUAUUGCGAUUGAGGUGGCUUCUCUUCCUUACAGGUGCGGGUCGGGGGCCUCAUUAUCAUUGAUAAUGUUCUUUGGCAUGGAAAAGUCGCUGACCCUCAGGUUAACGAUCCAAAGACCACUAGCAUAAGAAACUUCAACAGAAAACUUCUUGAAGAUCAGCGUAUCAGCACUAGCAUGGUACCAAUCGGGGAUGGCAUGACGAUAUGUCAGAAGAGAGCGACCGUCUAACUUGGAUGUAAUCUACCCCUUGGGCAGUUAAAAAGUAGAGCAAUUAAAAUGGACUCUUGGCUCAACGUAGAAGUUUGCUUUUAAGCUUCCAAUUUAAAACCCAAAUCAAUGGUGCACGGCCAAUUAAUCAAGUAUGAUCAAUUUCAGCACAACUUUAGUUGCAUGAUUCUAAUUCUCUCUAAAUUAGUUGAGCUCAAAGUUACAUUUACGCA
RNA transcript from Zingiber officinale, 1535 nucleotides. It is a transcript of the gene named O-methyltransferase MdmC-like, with no coding region annotated. The record is from RefSeq and is a predicted model, not a curated record. The transcript has 9 exons. NCBI's taxonomy places the organism in Eukaryota, Viridiplantae, Streptophyta, Magnoliopsida, Zingiberales, Zingiberaceae.